GACGAACGCUGGCGGCGUGCUUAACACAUGCAAGUCGAACGGAAAGACCCUGCUUUUGUUGGGUUCUCGAUUGGCGAACGGGUGAGUAACACGUGAGUAACCUGCCCUUGACUGUGGGAUAACUUCAGGAAACUGGGGCUAAUACCGGAGAGGAGCUCCUGCUGCAUGGGGUGGGUUGGAAAGUGUCGGCGGUUGUGGAUGGACUCGCGGCUUAUCAGCUUGUUGGUGAGGUAGUUGCGUACCAAGGCUUUGACGGGUAGCCUGCCUGAGAGGGUGAACGGCGACAUUGGGACUGCGAUACGGACCAGAAUCCUACGGGAGGCAGCAGUCGGGAAUAUUGCAGAAUGGGCGGAAGUCUGAUGCAGCAACGCCGCGUGCGGGAUGCCGGCCUUCGGGUUGUAAACAGCUUUCGACUGUGCCGAAGCGUGAGUGACGGUAAUGGGUAAAGAAGCACCGGCUAACUACGUG
RNAcentral lists this ribosomal RNA (468 nucleotides) under uncultured bacterium. Its description in RNAcentral is "partial 16S ribosomal RNA". It matches the Rfam family "Bacterial small subunit ribosomal RNA", at positions 28 to 507 of the family's 1533-position model. The record is from RNAcentral.